AGUGAACGCUGGCGGUAGGCCUAACACAUGCAAGUCGAACGGCAGCACAGUAAGAGCUUGCUCUUACGGGUUGCGAGUGGCGGACGGGUGAGGAAUACAUCGGAAUCUACUUUUUCGGGGGGGAUAACGUAGGGAAACUUACGCUAAUACCGCAUACGACCUACGGGUGAAAUCAGGGGAGCUUCGGAACUUGCGCGAUUGAAUGAGCCAGUGUCGGAUUAGCUAGUUGGCGGGGUAAAGGCCCACCAAGGCGACGAUCCGUAGCUGGUCUGAGAGGAUGAUCAGCCACACUGGAACUGAGACACGGUCCAGACUCCUACGGGAGGCAGCAGUGGGGAAUAUUGGACAAUGGGCGCAAGCCUGAUCCAGCCAUACCGCGUGGGUGAAGAAGGCCUUCGGGUUGUAAAGCCCUUUUGUUGGGAAAGAAAAGCAGCAGGUUAAUACCCCGCUGUUCUGACGGUACCCAAAGAAUAAGCACCGGCUAACUUCGUG
Molecule: ribosomal RNA, 492 nt
Filed under: uncultured bacterium
Lineage: Bacteria
Description: partial 16S ribosomal RNA
Rfam family: Bacterial small subunit ribosomal RNA
Source: RNAcentral